Lytechinus variegatus (green sea urchin) is the source of this 1323-nucleotide long non-coding RNA. RefSeq lists it as uncharacterized. NCBI's taxonomy places the organism in Eukaryota, Metazoa, Echinodermata, Echinoidea, Temnopleuroida, Toxopneustidae. The record is from RefSeq and is a predicted model, not a curated record. The transcript has 2 exons.
UUUCUUGUUUCCUUUUCUCUGUUCUGUUUUCUUUUAUUUUUUUCGCCAACCAACUUUGACUUUUAUCUGGAUACUAUCAUUUGGAUUAAUUGCCAGAACUGAUUCUUCAAGAUAUGUAAGACCGCUAUCAUUUUGUUAUUUUGUUUUUAUAUGGUUAGUUAUUUCCUGUACUUAUAAAAGGGAAAUCAGAUAUAAAAUUAAAUCUUCCUUGUUAUUUGUUGCACUAUCGUAGCAAAUAAUUUUGGGGGCUUGUCCGGGAAACGAAAGUCAAUUUGCACAGAAAACCGAUUUGAAGCUAAAACCAGUUUUCCAGGAAACGAAAGCCAAUUUGAGACAAAAAUGAAUAUGAAUCGCUCACUAUGAGAAUAUUUUGGAAAAAUAGCAUAUCUGCAUGGGAUCUGAAUUGGGUAUGACAAAAUAUUCUACGGGCCUUCUUCUUCAGCAACAGUAGGCCUAUUCUUUUUAAUUGUGUUUUGAUCGCACAACCCCAUACCAAAAUACCAUAAUAAAUGUAUGGUAACAUUAGUGUAUGAUACAGUUUAAGUACAGUGAGAGAUGAGAAAAAAAUAUAUGAGUUUGUUGAUUUCGAUGUUUCUUGAAAUUGUUUAGCAUACAUUAUCGAUGUGUGGUUUCCAUGGUGGUAUAUUAUCAAUAUUAACCCCCCAAAAUCUGGUCUCUGAAACAUUUUCAAAAACAGUGUUAUAAAAAAUAAGAUUAUCAGGUAUAAAUACUAAAAAAAACACAUAAAAUUCGUCUUUUGUAGAUAAAGUGAUAGUUUAUUUGCCUUAAUCCAGUCAGUUGCAUGUAUGAGUUCUGAGUUUACAAUUCUUACCAUUCUUUACGCUUAAUAGAUUCCUUAUCCCUAUAUCAGAACAGAAAGAAUAUGAUUGGAAUCAUACCCCUUUAAUAUUACGCCAAAAAGGGGAAGUUCGCCUGACAAAAAGUUUAUUGUGUAAAUAGCAAAAAAUAAAAAUAAAAUGAUAGAAAUAUUGGUGUAGGAUGGAGGAAAAUCCAUCGCAGAUUUAAAAAGUCAUCAGAAUGUCAACUAUGAUUGGUGAUAUCAUUUGCGAUGGAAUGGAAUUGAUGUUUUUCCUGGAUCAUUCAGCCAAUCAAUGACCGUAAACUUUAGAAGACACGCCUCCUAUUCAUUUGAUUGCACACGACCCUAUUUACGCGCCAAUGAGGUGUGGGGGUUGUAGCGUUGUUGCCUGAAAUGAGUACUGACUUCUUUCCAAGUUCAUAUUGCUGAUUUUCGUCUUCAUCCCUGGUUGUACUCUUUUUGUUACGAUCUGACUAUUCUCAGCCACAGUAGUUUUCUGUAAG